GAUGAACGCUGGCGGCGUGCCUAAUACAUGCAAGUCGAGCGAACAGACGAGGAGCUUGCUCCUCUGACGUUAGCGGCGGACGGGUGAGUAACACGUGGAUAACCUACCUAUAAGACUGGGAUAACUUCGGGAAACCGGAGCUAAUACCGGAUAACAUGUUGAACCGCAUGGUUCAACAGUGAAAGACGGUUUUGCUGUCACUUAUAGAUGGAUCCGCGUCGCAUUAGCUAGUUGGUAAGGUAACGGCUUACCAAGGCAACGAUGCGUAGCCGACCUGAGAGGGGGAUCGGCCACACUGGAAGUGAGACACGGUCCAGACUCCUAAGGGAGGCAGCAGUAGGGAAUCUUCCGCAAUGGGCGAAAGCCUGACGGAGCAACGCCGCGUGAGUGAAGAAGGUCUUCGGAUCGUAAAACUCUGUUAUUAGGGAAGAACAAAUGUGUAAGUAACUAUGCACGUCUUGACGGUACCUAAUCAGAAAGCCACGGCUAACUACGUG
RNAcentral lists this ribosomal RNA (497 nucleotides) under uncultured bacterium. RNAcentral's name for it is "partial 16S ribosomal RNA". It matches the Rfam family "Bacterial small subunit ribosomal RNA", at positions 28 to 507 of the family's 1533-position model. The record is from RNAcentral.